GAUGAACGCUGGCGGCGUGCCUAAUACAUGCAAGUCGAGCGAACAGACGAGGAGCUUGCUCCUCUGACGUUAGCGGCGGACGGGUGAGUAACACGUUGAUAACCUACCUAUAAGACUUGGAUAACUUCGGGAAACCGGAGCUAAUACCGGAUAAUAUAUUGAACCGCAUGGUUCAAUAGUGAAAGAGGGUUUUGCUGUCACUUAUAGAUGGAUCCGCGCCGCAUUAGCUAGUUGGUAAGGUAACGGCUUACCAAGGCGACGAUGCGUAGCCGACCUGAGAGGGUGAUCGGCCACACUGGAACUGAGACACGGUCCAGACUCCGACGGGAGGCAGCAGUAGGGAAUCUUCCGCAAUGGGCGAAAGCCUGACGGAGCAACGCCGCGUGAGUGAUGAAGGUCUUCGGAUCGUAAAACUCUGUUAUUAGGGAAGAACAAAUGUGUAAGUAACUAUGCUCGUCUUGACGGUACCUAGUCAGAAAGCCACGGCUAACUACGUG
This 497-nucleotide ribosomal RNA is filed under the name uncultured bacterium. Its description in RNAcentral is "partial 16S ribosomal RNA". It matches the Rfam family "Bacterial small subunit ribosomal RNA", at positions 28 to 507 of the family's 1533-position model. The record is from RNAcentral.